GUCUCCUGUGUUGUGGCAGAGUGGAGUGGCUGGAGUUGCUGUGUCAAACCCUGCCAGAUCUCCUAUCGCGUCCGCCAGAGGCGUGUCCUGCAGGAGCCGAGGAACGGGGGUGCUCCCUGCCCCCCGCUGGAAGAGCGGGCUGGGUGUGUGGAUUACCGGAGCCGCCAGGGAGUGGAGUGCCAACAGUCUUUAAUCCCUGCUCUGAUAACCACUGACAGCUAUGGGAAGGAGCGGAAAAAGCGAGGUGUCCCCAAGAAGCCGGAGACAGCAGGGUACUGUGUUCAGUUCCAGCUGGGACCCGUUCCAGGGAGCUGCCGACAGGUGAAGGCGCCUCACGCCCAGUGGACAAGGUACCUGACCCAGGGCCACACGAUCUGUGUGAGGUGUGAGUGGCCUGCCCAGGAUGCCAGGAGCCGGCGCUGCUACGGAGAUGGCGCCGGGACAGGAGGGUAAGCCCUAGACCUUGGGCCUGCGGAAGUGGGAUUGUAGAGCCCUGGCCGUCUCUGCUAUCUGAAGGACAAAGGUGCCGUAGCAGUCAGAUGUUGACUUCUGGCAGGAGUGGGGCCCACGAGGGUCCGGGCCCCAGUGUCCCAGAAGGAGCAGCUCCUGCCUCUCCUGCUGUGUGACCCUGGGCAAUCUCAUA
Long non-coding RNA from Lontra canadensis (Northern American river otter), 643 nucleotides. RefSeq lists it as uncharacterized. The record is from RefSeq and is a predicted model, not a curated record. Lineage: Eukaryota; Metazoa; Chordata; Mammalia; Carnivora; Mustelidae. The transcript has 3 exons.